This 500-nucleotide ribosomal RNA is filed under the name uncultured bacterium. RNAcentral's name for it is "partial 16S ribosomal RNA". It matches the Rfam family "Bacterial small subunit ribosomal RNA", at positions 955 to 1450 of the family's 1533-position model. The record is from RNAcentral.
AGAUACGCGCAGAACCUUGCCAACACUUGACANGUUCGUCGCGACUCUAAGAGAUUAGAGUUUUCGGUUCGGCCGGACGAAACACAGGUGCUGCAUGGCUGUCGUCAGCUCGUGUCGUGAGAUGUUGGGUUAAGUCCCGCAACGAGCGCAACCCUCACUUUUAGUUGCCAUCAUUAAGUUGGGCACUCUGAAAGAACUGCCAGUGAUAAGCUGGAGGAAGGUGGGGAUGACGUCAAGUCCUCAUGGCCCUUACGUGUUGGGCUACACACGUGCUACAAUGGCAUCUACAACAGGAAGCAAAACGGCAACGUUAAGCAAAUCCCGAAAAGAUGCCUCAGUUCGGAUUGCACUCUGCAACUCGAGUGCAUGAAGCUGGAAUUACUAGUAAUCGUGGAUCAGCGUGCCACGGUGAAUGCGUUCCCGGGUCUUGUACNACACCGCCCGUCACACCAUGGGNAGUUGGUUCUACCNUNANGNNANGNUNUAAACCCUUGACCACG